CCUACGGGAGGCAGCAGUGAGGAAUAUUGGUCAAUGGGCUUACGCCUGAACCAGCCAAGUCGCGUGAGGGAAGACUGCCCUAUGGGUUGUAAACCUCUUUUGUCAGGGAGCAACGCCGGCUACGUGUAGCCGGACUGAGAGUACCUGAAGAAAAAGCAUCGGCUAAAUCCGUGCCAGCAGCCGCGGUAAUACGGAGGAUGCGAGCGUUAUCCGGAUUUAUUGGGUUUAAAGGGUGCGUAGGCGGAAUGCCGAGUCAGCGGUAAAAUCGCGGGGCUCAACCUCGCUCCGCCGUUGAAACUGGCGGUCUUGAGUGGGCGAGAGGUAUGCGGAAUGCGUGGUGUAGCGGUGAAAUGCAUAGAUAUCACGCAGAACUCCGAUUGCGAAGGCAGCAUACCGGCGCCCAACUGACGCUGAAGCACGAAAGCGUGGGUAUCGAACAGGAUUAGAUACCCUAGUAGUC
This 460-nucleotide ribosomal RNA is filed under the name uncultured bacterium. RNAcentral's name for it is "partial 16S ribosomal RNA". It matches the Rfam family "Bacterial small subunit ribosomal RNA", at positions 338 to 795 of the family's 1533-position model. The record is from RNAcentral.